AUUACGUAAGUAAGUAAGAUCCCUGAGAGAAGAUCAGGUAGAUAGGAUGGAAGUGGAAGUACAGUGAUGUAUGGAGCGGACCAUUACUAAUCGAUCGAGGACUUAACCGA
This 110-nucleotide non-coding RNA is filed under the name Ligilactobacillus saerimneri 30a. RNAcentral's name for it is "Lactobacillus saerimneri 30a Bacterial large subunit ribosomal RNA". It matches the Rfam family "Bacterial large subunit ribosomal RNA", at positions 2815 to 2925 of the family's 2925-position model. Lineage: Bacteria; Bacillati; Bacillota; Bacilli; Lactobacillales; Lactobacillaceae. The record is from Rfam by way of RNAcentral.